CCCUUAGAGUUUGAUCCUGGCUCAGGACGAACGCUGGCGGCGUGCUUAACACAUGCAAGUCGAACGGGGUGUUUAUUUCGGUAAACACCAAGUGGCGAACGGGUGAGUAACGCGUAAGCAAUCUACCUUCAAGAUGGGGACAACACUUCGAAAGGGGUGCUAAUACCGAAUGAAUGUAAGAGUAUCGCAUGAGACACUUACUAAAGGAGGCCUCUGAAAAUGCUUCCGCUUGAAGAUGAGCUUGCGUCUGAUUAGCUAGUUGGUGAGGGUAAAGGCCCACCAAGGCGACGAUCAGUAGCCGGUCUGAGAGGAUGAACGGCCACAUUGGGACUGAGACACGGCCCAGACUCCUACGGGAGGCAGCAGUGGGGAAUCUUCCGCAAUGGGCGAAAGCCUGACGGAGCAACGCCGCGUGAACGAUGAAGGUCUUAGGAUCGUAAAGUUCUGUUGUUAGGGACGAAGGAUAAGGAUUAUAAUACAGUCUUUGUUUGACGGUACCUAACGAGGAAGCCACGGCUAACUACGUGCCAGCAGCCGCGGUAAUACGUAGGCGGCAAGCGUUGUCCGGAAUUAUUGGGCGUAAAGGGAGCGCAGGCGGGAAACUAAGCGGAUCUUAAAAGUGCGGGGCUCAACCCCGUGAUGGGGUCCGAACUGGUUUUCUUGAGUGCAGGAGAGGAAAGCGGAAUUCCCAGUGUAGCGGUGAAAUGCGUAGAUAUUGGGAAGAACACCAGUGGCGAAGGCGGCUUUCUGGACUGUAACUGACGCUGAGGCUCGAAAGCUAGGGUAGCGAACGGGAUUAGAUACCCCGGUAGUCCUAGCCGUAAACGAUGGAUACUAGGUGUGGGAGGUAUCGACUCCUUCCGUGCCGGAGUUAACGCAAUAAGUAUCCCGCCUGGGGAGUACGGCCGCAAGG
Molecule: ribosomal RNA, 913 nt
Filed under: uncultured bacterium
Lineage: Bacteria
Description: bacterial SSU rRNA
Rfam family: Bacterial small subunit ribosomal RNA
Source: RNAcentral